CCUAAUACAUGCAAGUCGAGCGGACAGAAGGGAGCUUGCUCCCGGAUGUUAGCGGCGGACGGGUGAGUAACACGUGGGUAACCUGCCUGUAAGACUGGGAUAACUCCGGGAAACCGGAGCUAAUACCGGAUAGUUCCUUGAACCGCAUGGUUCAAGGAUGAAAGACGGUUUCGGCUGUCACUUACAGAUGGACCCGCGGCGCAUUAGCUAGUUGGUGAGGUAACGGCUCACCAAGGCAACGAUGCGUAGCCGACCUGAGAGGGUGAUCGGCCACACUGGGACUGAGACACGGCCCAGACUCCUACGGGAGGCAGCAGUAGGGAAUCUUCCGCAAUGGACGAAAGUCUGACGGAGCAACGCCGCGUGAGUGAUGAAGGUUUUCGGAUCGUAAAGCUCUGUUGUUAGGGAAGAACAAGGGCAAGAGUAUCUGCUUGCACCUUGACGGUACCUUGCCAUAAAGCCUCGGCUAAUUUCCUGCCAUCAGUCCUUCCUAUACGGAAAUGGUAAGUGUUGUCCAGAUUAAAUGGGCGUAAAAGGCUCGGAGCG
RNAcentral lists this ribosomal RNA (546 nucleotides) under Bacillus pumilus. RNAcentral's name for it is "bacterial SSU rRNA". It matches the Rfam family "Bacterial small subunit ribosomal RNA", at positions 47 to 576 of the family's 1533-position model. The record is from RNAcentral. Lineage: Bacteria; Bacillati; Bacillota; Bacilli; Caryophanales; Bacillaceae.